RNAcentral lists this ribosomal RNA (460 nucleotides) under uncultured bacterium. RNAcentral describes it as "partial 16S ribosomal RNA". It matches the Rfam family "Bacterial small subunit ribosomal RNA", at positions 338 to 795 of the family's 1533-position model. The record is from RNAcentral.
CCUACGGGUGGCAGCAGUGAGGAAUAUUGGUCAAUGGGCGUAAGCCUGAACCAGCCAAGUCGCGUGAGGGAUGAAGGUUCUAUGGAUCGUAAACCUCUUUUAUAAGGGAAUAAAUUGCGGGACGUGUCCCGUUUUGUAUGUACCUUAUGAAUAAGGAUCGGCUAACUCCGUGCCAGCAUCCGCGGUAAUACGGAGGAUCCGAGCGUUUACCGGAUUUUUUGGGGUUAAAGGGUGCGUAGGCGGCCUUUUAAGUCAGCGGUGAAAGUCUGUGGCUGAACCAUAGAAUUGCCGUUGAAACUGGGGGGCUGGAGUGUGCUUGAGGCAGGCGGAAUGCGUGGUGUAGCGGUGAAAUGCAUAGAUAUCACGCAGAACACCAAUUGCGAAGGCAGCCUGCCAAGCCAUGACUGACGCUGAUGCACGAAAGCGUGGGGAUCAAACAGGAUUAGAUACCCCGGUAGUC